RNAcentral lists this ribosomal RNA (497 nucleotides) under uncultured bacterium. Its description in RNAcentral is "partial 16S ribosomal RNA". It matches the Rfam family "Bacterial small subunit ribosomal RNA", at positions 28 to 507 of the family's 1533-position model. The record is from RNAcentral.
GAUGAACGCUGGCGGCGUGCCUAAUACAUGCAAGUCGAGCGAACAGACGAGGAGCUUGCUCCUUUGACGUUAGCGGCGGACGGGUGAGUAACACGUAGGUAACCUACCUAUAAGACUGGGAUAACUUCGGGAAACCGGAGCUAAUACCGGAUAAUAUUUCGAACCGCAUGGUUCGAUAGUGAAAGACGGCUUUACUAUCACUUAUAGAUGGACCCGCGCCGUAUUAGCUAGUUGGUAAGGUAACGGCUUACCAAGGCAACGAUACGUAGCCGACCUGAGAGGGUGAUCGGCCACACUGGAACUGAGACACGGUCCAGACUCCUACGGGAGGCAGCAGUAGGGAAUCUUCCGCAAUGGGCGAAAGCCUGACGGAGCAACGCCGCGUGAGUGAUGAAGGUCUUCGGAUCGUAAAACUCUGUUAUUAGGGAAGAACAAACGUGUAAGUAACUGUGCACGUCUUGACGGUACCUAAUCAGAAAGCCACGGCUAACUACGUG